Molecule: ribosomal RNA, 247 nt
Filed under: uncultured bacterium
Lineage: Bacteria
Description: partial 16S ribosomal RNA
Rfam family: Bacterial small subunit ribosomal RNA
Source: RNAcentral
AUACAGAGGGUGCGAGCGUUGUCCGGAAUCACUGGGCGUAAAGGGCGCGUAGGCGGCUCGGUAAGCGUGUGGUGAAAGCCCGGGGCUCAACCCCGGGUCGGCCAUGCGAACUGUCGAGCUGGAGCACGGUAGAGGCACAUGGAAUUCCGGGUGUAGCGGUGGAAUGCGUAGAGAUCCGGAAGAACACCGGUGGCGAAGGCGGUGUGCUGGGCCGUAGCUGACGCUGAGGCGCGACAGCGUGGGGAGC